Molecule: ribosomal RNA, 253 nt
Filed under: uncultured bacterium
Lineage: Bacteria
Description: partial 16S ribosomal RNA
Rfam family: Bacterial small subunit ribosomal RNA
Source: RNAcentral
UACGUAGGGGGCAAGCGUUGCCCGGAUUUAUUGGGCGUAAAGAGCGUGUAGGCGGCUAGGUAGGUCCGUUGUGAAAACUCGAGGCUCAACCUCGAGCUGUCGAUGGAAACCAUCUGGCUAGAGUCCGGAAGAGGAGAGUGGAAUUCCUGGUGUAGCGGUGAAAUGCGCAGAUAUCAGGAAGAACACCCGUGGCGAAGGCGGCUCACUGGACUGGUAUUGACGCUGAGGUGCGAAAGCGUGGGGAGCAAACAGG